RNAcentral lists this microRNA (20 nucleotides) under Monodelphis domestica (gray short-tailed opossum). Its description in RNAcentral is "mdo-miR-7290-5p". Lineage: Eukaryota; Metazoa; Chordata; Mammalia; Didelphimorphia; Didelphidae. The record is from miRBase by way of RNAcentral.
UCUGGCUCUGUUUGCAGCGC